RNAcentral lists this ribosomal RNA (450 nucleotides) under uncultured bacterium. RNAcentral describes it as "partial 16S ribosomal RNA". It matches the Rfam family "Bacterial small subunit ribosomal RNA", at positions 354 to 796 of the family's 1533-position model. The record is from RNAcentral.
GUGGGGAAUAUUGGACAAUGGGCGAAAGCCUGAUCCAGCCAUGCCGCGUGUGUGAAGAAGGUCUUCGGAUUGUAAAGCACUUUAAGUUGGGAGGAAGGGCAGUAAGUUAAUACCUUGCUGUUUUGACGUUACCGACAGAAUAAGCACCGGCUAACUUCGUGCCAGCAGCCGCGGUAAUACGAAGGGUGCAAGCGUUAAUCGGAAUUACUGGGCGUAAAGCGCGCGUAGGUGGUUCAGCAAGUUGGAGGUGAAAUCCCCGGGCUCAACCUGGGAACUGCCUCCAAAACUACUGGGCUAGAGUACGGUAGAGGGUAGUGGAAUUUCCUGUGUAGCGGUGAAAUGCGUAGAUAUAGGAAGGAACACCAGUGGCGAAGGCGACUACCUGGACUGAUACUGACACUGAGGUGCGAAAGCGUGGGGAGCAAACAGGAUUAGAUACCCCUGUAGUCC